AACUAAAAAUAGCUCAAAAUACAUUAUAUGAUAAUAUUCUAAAAAUCUAAAAUAAAACAUUCAUUAAGAUAAAAGUAUAGGCGAUAGAAAUUUUAAUUGACGCUAUAGAGAAAGUACCGCAAGGGAAAAAAUGAAAGAAAAUUUUUAAGUAGAAAAAAGCAAAGAUUAACUCUUGUACCUUUUGCAUAAUGAUUUAACUAGAAAAUGUUAGCAAAAAGAAUUAAAGUUAAAUACCCCGAAACUAGACGAGCUACCCACUAGCAGCCUUAAGAGCAAACUCGUCUAUGUGGCAAAAUAGUGAGAAGACUAAUGGGUAGAGGCAAUAAACCUAUCGAGCCUAGUGAUAGCUGGUUGUCCAGAACAGAAUUUUAGUUCUAAUUUAAACCUGCCACAAAAACAACAAAUUUAAAUGUAGGAUUAAAUAAUAGUCUAAGAGGGUACAGCCUCUUAGAUUAGGGACUCAACCCCUAUUAGUGAGUAAAAAUAAAUAAAAACACUAUAGUUGGCCUAAAAGCAGCCAUCAAACAAGAUAGCGUUCAAGCUCAAUAAGCACAUAAAAAACUAAUUUCAAUUAUUAAAUAACUAACUCCUAAUAUAAAACUGGACUAUUCUAUUUACAAAUAGAAGAAAUAAUGUUAAUAUGAGUAACAAGAAAUAAUUCUCCCUGCAUGCGUGUAUAUCAGAACGAAUAACUCACUGAUAAUUAACCAAACUUUAAUAUAACUACUCAAUUAAAAUCUACAAUAUAAUUGUUAGUCCAACACAGGUAUGCAAACAGGGAAAGAUUAAAAAGAGUAAAAGGAACUCGGCAAACAUAAACCUCGCCUGUUUACCAAAAACAUCACCUCUAGCAUUCAAAGUAUUAGAGGCACUGCCUGCCCGGUGACUCUAGUUUAACGGCCGCGGUAUCCUGACCGUGCAAAGGUAGCAUAAUCACUUGUUCUCUAAAUAAGGACUUGUAUGAAUGGCCUCACGAGGGUUUUACUGUCUCUUACUCUCAAUCAGUGAAGUUGACCUUCCCGUGAAGAGGCGGGAAUAAGAAAAUAAGACGAGAAGACCCUAUGGAGCUUUAAUUAAUCAACUCACGAACUACAACAACACUCCAUCAUGGAGCUAAACUUAUUUCACAUGAGUUGACAAUUUAGGUUGGGGUGACCUCGGAAUAAAAAUAAACUCCCGAGAUAAUUUAAAUCAAGACAAACAAGUCAAAAUUCUCCUAUUAAACAUUGAUCCGCUAAGCGAUCAACGAAACAAGUUACCCUAGGGAUAACAGCGCAAUCCUAUUUAAGAGUCCAUAUCGACAAUUAGGGUUUACGACCUCGAUGUUGGAUCAGGACAUCCCAAUGGUGCAGCCGCUAUUAAUGUGUUCGUUUGUUCAACGAUUAAAGUCCUACGUGAUCUGAGUUCAGACCGGAGAAAUCCAGGUCGGUUUCUAUCUAUUUUAUAGUCCCUCCUAGUACGAAAGGACAAGAGAGACAGGGCCUACUUCAAACAAGCGCCCUAAUCAAUAAGAUGAACUAAUCUUAAUCUUAUUUUAUAGAAUAUUAGCCCAAGAACAGGGCUUA
Molecule: ribosomal RNA, 1565 nt
Filed under: Myotis bocagii (rufous Myotis)
Lineage: Eukaryota; Metazoa; Chordata; Mammalia; Chiroptera; Vespertilionidae
Description: 16S ribosomal RNA
Rfam family: Bacterial large subunit ribosomal RNA
Source: RNAcentral